This 301-nucleotide ribosomal RNA is filed under the name uncultured bacterium. RNAcentral's name for it is "partial 16S ribosomal RNA". It matches the Rfam family "Bacterial small subunit ribosomal RNA", at positions 509 to 807 of the family's 1533-position model. The record is from RNAcentral.
CAGCCGCCGCGGUAAUACGUAGGGUGCAAGCGUUGUCCGGAAUCAUUGGGCGUAAAGCGCGCGUAGGUGGCCAUUUAAGUCCGCUGUGAAAGUCAAAGGCUCAACCUUUGAAAGCCGGUGGAUACUGGAUGGCUAGAGUACGGAAGAGGCGAGUGGAAUUCCUGGUGUAGCGGUGGAAUGCGCAGAUAUCAGGAGGAACACCAAUAGCGAAGGCAGCUCGCUGGGACGUUACUGACACUAAGGCGCGAAAGCGUGGGGAGCGAACAGGAUUAGAUACCCGUGUAGUCCCUGUCUCUUAUAC